UGAGGAAUAUUGGACAAUGGGCGAAAGCCUGAUCCAGCCAUGCCGCGUGAGUGACGAAGGCCUUAGGGUUGUAAAACUCUUUCAGUGGCGAAGAUAAUGACGGUAACCACAGAAGAAGCCCCGGCUAACUUCGUGCCAGCAGCCGCGGUAAUACGAAGGGGGCUAGCGUUGUUCGGAAUCACUGGGCGUAAAGCGCGUGUAGGCGGAUAUGCAAGCUAGAGGUGAAAGCCCGGGGCUCAACCCCGGAAUUGCCUUUGGAACUGCAUAUCUGGAGUCUUGGAGGGGAGUGCGGAAUUCCUAAUGUAGAGGUGAAAUUCGUAGAGAUUAGGAGGAACACCAGUGGCGAAGGCGGCACUCUGGACAAGCACUGACGCUAAGACGCGAAAGCAUGGGGAGCAAACA
Molecule: ribosomal RNA, 402 nt
Filed under: uncultured bacterium
Lineage: Bacteria
Description: bacterial SSU rRNA
Rfam family: Bacterial small subunit ribosomal RNA
Source: RNAcentral